UCGGCAAUGGACGCAAGUCUGACCGAGCGACGCCGCGUGCGGGAUGAAGGCCUUCGGGUUGUAAACCGCUGUCAGAGGGGAUGAAGUGUACGGGAGUUAUCUCCUGUAUUUGACAGAGCCUCAGAGGAAGCACGGGCUAAGUUCGUGCCAGCAGCCGCGGUAAUACGAACUGUGCGAACGUUAUUCGGAAUCACUGGGCUUAAAGGGUGCGUAGGCGGCUGCCUAAGUCAGGUGUGAAAUCUCUCGGCUCAACCGGGAAACUGCGCUUGAUACUGGGCGGCUAGAGUGAGGUAGGGGUGUGUGGAACUUCCGGUGGAGCGGUGAAAUGUGUAGAUAUCGGAAGGAACGCCAGCAGCGAAAGCGGCACACUGGGCCUUUUCUGACGCUGAGGCACGAAAGCUAGGGGAGCGAACGGGAUUAGAUACCCCGGUAGUCCUAGCCGUAAACACUGAACACUCGAGGAGGGGGGCUUCGGCCUUCUUCCUCUUAGCGAAAGCGUUAAGUGUUCCGCCUGGGGAGUAUGGUCGCAAGGCUGAAACUCAAAGGA
RNAcentral lists this ribosomal RNA (547 nucleotides) under uncultured bacterium. Its description in RNAcentral is "bacterial SSU rRNA". It matches the Rfam family "Bacterial small subunit ribosomal RNA", at positions 365 to 908 of the family's 1533-position model. The record is from RNAcentral.